AUUGAACGCUGGCGGCAGGCCUAACACAUGCAAGUCGAGCGGAUGAAGGGAGCUUGCUCCUGGAUUCAGCGGCGGACGGGUGAGUAAUGCCUAGGAAUCUGCCUGGUAGUGGGGGAUAACGUCCGGAAACGGGCGCUAAUACCGCAUACGUCCUGAGGGAGAAAGUGGGGGAUCUUCGGACCUCACGCUAUCAGAUGAGCCUAGGUCGGAUUAGCUAGUUGGUGGGGUAAAGGCCUACCAAGGCGACGAUCCGUAACUGGUCUGAGAGGAUGAUCAGUCACACGGGAACUGAGACACGGUCCAGACUCCUACGGGAGGCAGCAGUGGGGAAUAUUGGACAAUGGGCGAAAGCCUGAUCCAGCCAUGCCGCGUGUGUGAAGAAGGUCUUCGGAUUGUAGAGCACUUUAAGUUGGGAGGAAGGGCAGUAAGUUAAUACCUUGCUGUUUUGACGUUACCAACAGAAUAAGCACCGGCUAACUUCGUG
This 484-nucleotide ribosomal RNA is filed under the name uncultured bacterium. RNAcentral's name for it is "partial 16S ribosomal RNA". It matches the Rfam family "Bacterial small subunit ribosomal RNA", at positions 30 to 507 of the family's 1533-position model. The record is from RNAcentral.